Molecule: ribosomal RNA, 109 nt
Filed under: Pteropus alecto (black flying fox)
Lineage: Eukaryota; Metazoa; Chordata; Mammalia; Chiroptera; Pteropodidae
Source: RNAcentral
GUCUAUGCCCGUGCUACCCUAAACAAGCCCUAUCCCAUCUGAUCUCGGAAACAAAGCAGGGUCGGGCCUGGUUAGUAUUUGGAUGGGAGACCACCAGGUGCUAUAGGUG